ACUCCUACGGGAGGCAGCAGUGGGGAAUAUUGCACAAUGGGCGCAAGCCUGAUGCAGCCAUGCCGCGUGUAUGAAGAAGGCCUUCGGGUUGUAAAGUACUUUCAGCAGUGAGGAAGGUGGGAGUUCAGUUAAUAGCGGCUCAUUUGACGUUAGCUGCAGAAGAAGCACCGGCUAACUCCGUGCCAGCAGCCGCGGUAAUACGGAGGGUGCGAGCGUUAAUCGGAAUUACUGGGCGUAAAGCGCAUGCAGGUGGUUUGUUAAGUCAGAUGUGAAAGCCCGGGGCUCAACCUCGGAAUUGCAUUUGAAACUGGCAAGACUAGAGUACUGUAGAGGGGGGUAGAAUUUCAGGUGUAGCGGUGAAAUGCGUAGAGAUCUGAAGGAAUACCGGUGGCGAAGGCGGCCCCCUGGACAGAUACUGACACUCAGAUGCGAAAGCGUGGGGAGCAAACAGGAUUAGAU
Molecule: ribosomal RNA, 459 nt
Filed under: uncultured bacterium
Lineage: Bacteria
Description: bacterial SSU rRNA
Rfam family: Bacterial small subunit ribosomal RNA
Source: RNAcentral